GUGAAUCAUCAAAUCUUUGAACGCAAAUUGCGCUUCCUGGUAUUCCGGGAAGUAUGCCUGUUUGAGGGUCAGUAUUAAUAAAAAAUCGGUUUAGUUACAAAUUGUGAGGUUCCCGGCGUUGGGGCUACCUUAACAUUUUCGGUUAAGAGGCUUAAAAUUGAUUUUUUUUGCGCAUUUUUAAACGUACAUAAAUUUUUUUCAUUCGU
This 206-nucleotide unclassified non-coding RNA is filed under the name Glomeraceae sp. Its description in RNAcentral is "partial contains 5.8S ribosomal RNA and internal transcribed spacer 2". The stretch from base 1 to 71 matches the Rfam family "5.8S ribosomal RNA", at positions 84 to 154 of the family's 154-position model. Lineage: Eukaryota; Fungi; Glomeromycota; Glomeromycetes; Glomerales; Glomeraceae. The record is from RNAcentral.